UCCUCCAUGCUGCAUCAUGGAUUCCCUCGU
RNAcentral lists this non-coding RNA (30 nucleotides) under Homo sapiens (human). Lineage: Eukaryota; Metazoa; Chordata; Mammalia; Primates; Hominidae. The record is from RNAcentral.